CCUACGGGUGGCUGCAGUAAGGAAUAUUGGUCAAUGGAGGAAACUCUGAACCAGCCAUCCCGCGUGAAGGAUGAAGGGGCUCUGCCUUGUAACUUCUUUUGUCUGGGGCGAAAAAGCUCGAUUUAUCGAGAACUGACGGUACCAGAAGAAUAAGCACCGGCUAACUCCGUGCCAGCAGCCGCGGUAAUCCGGAGGGUGCAAGCGUUAUCCGGAAUCACUGGGUUUGAAGGCGGCGUAGGCGGCUUAGUGUGAAAGGCUGGGGCGUAACCAUGGAAGUGCCAUUGAUACUGCAGAGCUUGAAUGAGGUUGAGGUUGGCGGAAUGUGACAUGUAGCGGUGAAAUGCUUAGAUAUGUCAUGGAACACCGAUUGCGAAGGCAGCUGACUGGACCGAUAUUGACGCUGAGGCACGAAAGCGUGGGGAGCGAACAGGAUUAGAUACCCCGGUAGUC
RNAcentral lists this ribosomal RNA (450 nucleotides) under uncultured bacterium. RNAcentral describes it as "partial 16S ribosomal RNA". It matches the Rfam family "Bacterial small subunit ribosomal RNA", at positions 338 to 795 of the family's 1533-position model. The record is from RNAcentral.